GCCAGAAUAUGUCAGAGGACAGUUCUCUAGAAUAGGCAAUCUGUUGAUAGAACUGGCCCCUCCACUUGCUCAAGGCCUGAAUUGCAAUAAAGGAUGAACCUUUCUACCAACAAGUCAACAAUUACAGUAAAAUGAAAAUGUAAGCAUGACUGGAGCUUUGAACACCUAAACUCUUUCAAGAGCUUGGACUGGACCCUGAUGAAGAUUUUUCUUUCAACAAGGAUAUCAGAAGGGGAAAAAAAUCUCAGAGAAAGGAACAGGAGUUGUGUCUGGGACAUAUUUAUAUUUGUCAUCUUGCUCAGAUUCCCUUAAUUUCAUAAUUGGACUUGACAUCUCUCCACAAGAUAAAUGAGGCAACAUUGAAAGGACGAAGAGCUUUGUCUGCAAAUGAUUCCCUGUGUAGAUUCUCUCAACAUAGAGAAUCUCUAACAUUCAAAGCACUCAUAAUUGAUGGCUAACAAAAAACUUUAUUUACUUUGGAGAAAGCUCUUUCUUGAUUAUUCAAAAUAAUUGUUAGGCAGGGAGCAAACAUUCAAAUUGUGUGAUUUAUGCUUAGCCACUUAACAGUUUUCCUGUUGCAACUCCACUGAAGACAGAAUGUGGUUUUUUCCAUUUAUUUAUUUACUUGACUCCAUCCUGGCCCAAUGGACUAGGUUCUACUAAAGGAAGGGUAUCUCUAUAUUUUAGUAUUGCAAUUGUGUAAUACUUUGAUCAGACAUAAAAUCUUUCAGGCUUGAAGCGUAUAACUGUAAAAUAGAAAACAUUAUUUCAUCACAAACAACGCUUGCUAUGUAAAAGUGAGAUCUCUGUAGGAAUUUGUUGAUGUGAAGUUGAGCUGACACCAUUAGCACUGAGAUUAACAUGGUGAAAUCUCACUGCAUUUAAUUUAGCUCAUGCAGUUCCUUUUUAUCCAUAUAUAGACACAGUAGAAAAAGCCAUUUUCUCUUGUCUCACUUAUAGCAUAAAUGUGAAGUCUUGCUGCAUUUUUCUUCAAAGAUUAAUUUUCAAAAUAUCAAAACAGCUUACCCAGCAUGCUCUUUUUCCUACCAGGUUUGUUGGAGAUGAAGCUAGCAGCAAUUUACAAGAGCCAUUCUAUUUUUGUAUCUAAUAAGAGAGAGAAGCAGACAAUCUUCUGGUACACAGAUUCACUUUUUAAAGGGCUUUUCAUCCAUUUGAUUCAUUCACAGUCUUGUGCAAGCUUUUUUAUUAUUAUUAUUAAAUAGCCCAAUGCAUUAUUUUCUACAGAUUACUCCCUGCCUCCCCAAUCAGAAUAUGGUGAAUAUAUGGAAUUAUAUGGAAAGCAUGGACUUUAAGUUUGAAAAAGCAAGUGUGUUGUUUUGAUUCUUUUCUAUAGUAGUAGCCUAAGUAAAAUAUUGGAAAACACGAACAACAUAAAAUAUAUCCAGUUUGUCAAAUACGAACAUUUUGUUAUGUCAGCAAACAAAUGUGAUACUUUGAGGAGUUUUGAUAUAAUAUAUAUUUCUAAUUAAUUUUCCUUCAUAGUGCUUCAAUUGUCAUGGAUUUUAGCUAAGCAAUGACAAGUGUAACAUUUGUGAGCAACUGUGAUUAAUCUCUGUUUCCAUAUUAGAAGUGUUUUGAACAUUUAUUAUGUUUCUUGAAAAAACUAAUUUAUGCUAAUGUUGAAGACAAGAACAAGAUUUAGGACUGAACCCUUUUCUCUUUUGAGGAUCAUGUGACUAAUGUAAAUGUCUAAUUCAAUACUGUACAUGCAGUAGUACACAUUAUCUACUCCUUUCUGAUUAACAAAAACAAGAGAUUAGUUCAGGCAUGUCAAACUCACGACGUCAUGUGACAUCACACAACGUAUCGGGCCGGUUUUGCCAUUGCCAGCAAUGGGGUGGGCAUGGCUUCCAUGUGACAUGUCCGGCCCGCGGGCCAGCAGUUUGACAUCCCUGGAUUAGUUCUUAGAUAUCAAGAUUUGCAAGAAUUUGCAAGCAGAGAAUGCACUUUGUACUUGUUCCUAAGUGGAAAGUCUUUAUCCAUACUUUUGCAUGGUUUGGUCAUAUGAAGCAAGAAUGAAACACAAAAUUAGCAAAAAUUAAAUUUUGCCUUCUAUAUGCCUCUUCAGAAGGGGCAAACCAAGUGAGAUAUUAAAUACAGUCAAUGAUGUUUUAAACACAAAAUUGCAUACACUACCAAACAUCACAAGAAUGGUGUUAAAAAUAAGUUGACUCCCAUAGAGUCAACAAUCUAUGAAGCAAUGAAGCAUUUUAAAUCCAGAAAUCCAGCAAAGCUUUGGAAAUUGGUGUGAGAUACAUACUUUGAUUAAGAGGAAAACUAUUUCUAAGUUAUUCUUUCCUUUGCAUUAUUGCUACUGUUUAUAUCUUUUGCCAUUUUAAAUCAGCAAGGUUUAAACAGAAAAUAUUUCACAUAAAUAUAUAAACAAUUCUUUUUUUAACUCUUCCUAAACCUAUUUCAGCUCAAUAAUAGAAGAUCUGAAUAACCAAAUGAUAAAACUUUAAUUUGAAAUGAACAAGUGAAAAUAUAUGCUAUGAGCAUCCCCUAGAAAGAAAAACAAUUACGGUAAAGCCAAAGUUUACUUUGCAGAAACUAAUGUCAUCUUGAUUUGAAUUUGCUCUGUGAGUAAACAGAGAUGAUUUAAAUUUCCUUAAUACAGUGGUACCUUGGUACUCCACUGCUUUGAAACUCAUCAGAUUUGGUACUUAGUGCAUUUUGACAGGAACAUUUUGUACUCAUUCUUUGUUUGGUACUCAAUGCAUAAGCUAGAACUUGUCAGUGUCAGUUGCCUUGUGACUCACUUCAUUAUUCCUUAUGGGAAAAAAUGGUUUGGUAUUCAUCAUUUUUGGUACUCAUCAUGCCUCCCGGAACCAAUUAACAAUGAAUACCUAGGUACCAAUGUAUAUGUAAGCUUUUCUUUUCAUACGUUUGAAUUUUAUGACCCAUUGAAAAUGCCUUAAAAGGCAAGUUGGUGAAUAUCAAAUAUCACAGGUAUGUACCCAAGUUCAGCUUUACACUGUAAACCAGGGGUCCCCAAUCUUUGGUCCAUGGAUUGGCACCAGGCCGCAGCAUGCCAGAAACUGGGCCACGCAAACAAGCAAAGACCCAUCUGUGGGAUGCUGGCGAUACAUAAAACCCCCUCCGGUCCACAGAAAAACCUCUCUCCACGGAACUGAUCCCUGGUGCCCAAAAGGUUGGGGACCUCUGCUGUAAACCAUUCCUUCCUUUUGGAAAAGGAAUGGAUGAUAUAAUGCAAUUUUCAGGUUGACAUGUUGGGCUUGUGAGUUUUGUCACGGAUGUUAAUCCCUCAUUGUUGUUUAAGGUUAGAUGUUGCUUCAAUGGUGACUAGUGUGAUGACUGGGAAAAUAUUUUGUAACGUUAUCUGGGAUUUGUUUAAUUAUAUGAAAGCUAAAGAAGUGGACAGGGUUCUGCAGAAUGUAUUGCCAGUUGAUUCUAAUGGGGCAAGGCAAUCGUGAGGAUACCUAGGUACCAAGCCAUAUUUUUUUCUGAAUGUGUAAUGUUGACAGUGCACAGACAGUGAUACAGACAUGCUCUCUUUUUUCAUCUUAGUUACACAGAUAUUAUCUCUCAGCCUAUUAUUGUUAUCAUAAGGAAUUUAGAACAACUACAAGUGCACUGUUCCAAGCUCUUUAAAAUUGUCCUACAUAGUUUGUUAUAAAAUUAUAAUAAAUCUAGCAAAUAAAAAUAAGAGGUGUGAAUUAGAUAUAAUCAGGAUUUUAGAGUAAAAAAUAAUUAUGAAAGAUAUGCUAUAAAUCUUAAGAACUGCCCUCAACUCUUCUUAGUCUAAUGGAAAAGAGCUACCAAAAUUGUUAACCUCAAUUUCACAGUUGACUGACAAGAGUCUUAGAUAGACAAAAUGAAACAUAGGAGACUGAAGAGUCUGAUGGAAACUUGAAAUUGAUAGAAAUGUGGUCAGAGAAUAUUUAUUUACUUUCAGCUGAAAACUCCAAAACCAGAUGAAUUGCAUUCUAUGGCUCUGAAGGAAAUAACUGAUAGUCUGAUUGAACUUUCACAUACUAUGUUUGAGAAAUCCUGGAGAAAGUACUAGAUAACAGGAAGAGACCAAAUAUUAUUUCUGUCUCAAUAAAGAGAGAAAAGGGAAAUGUCUCUCAGAAAUCAGCAUGGAUUUGUGAAGAGCAAUACCUACUAAGCUAAUCGUAUUUCCUUUCAAAAUACCAAGGAGGGAUGCUAUAAACAUAAUUAUCAAGAUUUCAAGAAAAAAAUAAUAAAGUGUCAUUUGAUUAAUAAGCUAGGGUGAACUGGAAAUAGUUGUAUAAUGCAACUGUAAUAAUGCCUAAUAAAUAAAUCUCUUAUGCAGGAGCUAGAUUCAGACUUAAAUGAUAAAAUUCACAAUCCCUUGUUUGGAACAAAAGAUUAUUAUUUAAGGCUGAUAUGCCCUUGCCUACUUCCUAGGGUGAGACAGAGUGACUGGCCCAAGGUCACCCAACUGGUGAAACUAGAACUCGCAAUCUCCUGUUUCCCAGCUUGGUGCCUUAACCACAACACCAAACUGGUUCUCUGACCUGAUUGGAAGCACCAAAUUGAGCAAGAAUUUUCUGUCAAUAAUCUAAAUGUCUUCUUCCAACUCUAUGAAUUUUUCGAACUUUGGAACAAAAUAUUAUCAUUUAAGGCUGAAUCUAGUUCCUGCCUAACAAAUUUACUUGUUAGGAAGUAGGCAUUGUAUUACAUAACUAUUUCUGCUUACCCCCAAUUAAUCGAUAUGCUGUGUAAGCUAUAAGCCCAAAAUGCAGGCAUUCUAAAUUGUGAUCUAAGUCUGCAUGGAAAUGUUAUUUUUGAUAUAUGCACAUGCAUAGUAUUAUAACUUUUGUGUUGAUGUUUGAGAUAUCCUUUUAUAUUAUCAUAUUAAUCUUAUGCAAAUCUUUCUAUUAAAUCUUCAAAGGACUAGUUUUAUACAGCUAUGUCUAUAUUAAGAACACAGAUAGAAAUUCUUCCUCCCCCCCCCAAACCCAUCAUAUCAUAGAAAAUGUGGUUAUCUUAUGAAGUUGAAUGACAAAUUUUAGACAAAUUUAAAUAAUGGACAAAUCUUGUCAGAUGAGUUCAAAGGUCUAUUUAGUUGGUAUUUGCUUUCAGCAGUAUCCAAACUGUUAUCAGUGGGAAAGCAAACACAGAAUACUGUAUAAGGAUUAAUAGCAGUUCUGCUAAAUCAGGUUAAGGCUCAUUUUAGUUUGUUAUUGUGCCCCUCAUUGUGGCAAACCAGUCACUAACUCUUUCACUGCUGUUCUACAACUGGUGUUUGGGGUUAUUCUCUCCCAAUCCAGAGGUAACCUUUAGUCUUUAAGCUCUUCAUUGACCUGUCUUCUGUGAAUUUAUCAAACCCUCUUUUAAAGCCAUCCAAAUUAAUGGCCCACACCACAUCUUGUGAUAAUGAACUCCAUAGACAGAUAUGAACUGAUUAUUUAUUUGUUUUUUUUUCUUUCAAAUUAUAGGGUUGACUAACAGAAACAAUUUUAACCAGAUUUUAAUGGUUAAAAUAUUAAAUUAAAAAAAAAACAACAACCAAGAUACAGUACAAUAAUAACAAUAUGCUGUGGAAUAUACAUUUAAUGACUAUUCAAAUGGUUCAUAAAUUGCCUCAACCCAGAACUGCUGCAAAAGCCAAGUUUUUAAUACUUUCUGGAAGGUCAGCAGUGUUGGGGCUAAAAGGACAAUAAGCACUUCAUUAAUAAUUAAUAAACAUCCAUUAAUUACAUUAAUUCUGCAUUGCAUGGAAAAGUAUUUUCUUUUGUCUGUUCUAAAUCUUUCAGAUCUCCUGAUCUUAACAUUUUAAGAAAGUAAGGGAAAAAAAACACCUCUUUUUCACAUUUUCUAGCAACUAGCACGUAAACAUGUACUCUCUUUAAUUCUAGAGAUAAUAAUAACUGUUAUAGCUCAUAGCUAUUGAUAACUUUAUCUCUGUGAAUGUGUCUCUUUUUUUUUAAAGUUCUCAAAGGUUGUGAUUGUCAUUAUAUCAUGUGGUAUUGCAAUUUGCACAAGAGAAAAAAAUGUUUCAAGUGCUUACACCACAAAUUCUCCAAUGUCCACCAGGACCACAUAAUAAAUUCUUCUUCUUUGUGUGUGCUGAAGCUAUUGCAUCACUGUUUCUUACCUGAGACCAUGAAUUUCUUAAGCCUUCUUCCAUUGCAUCGGUUUAUUCAUUACCUGAGUUUAUUGGCUGAACCUCCCCAUUUGGUCCAUCUACUUUCCAAGAUAUAAUGCGCCAGAAAGAAUGUUGCCUUCAUGCUCAUGCCCCAACUUUAGAUAGGAAGAAGAGUGACAUACACAUUAAUAAACAAACAAAUAAAUGAAUUUUGCUUUUGUGCAAAUAAAUAAGACACAGAAUAAUAGUUACUAAGCUUAGUGAACUUUGGUCAUGUUAUGUCCUGGGCCUGCUGAGUGACUCAGCAGGUGCAGGAAGCUGCAGAGAGCCCUGGGCAGACCACAUGGUUGCCCGGGACCAGACAGGCUGUCUCCAGCCUAUUGCGCACACGCAAGGCGGGAGAAUCCAUUGCAUUGAUUGGCUGACACUGUCCCUGCAAAGGAGUAUAUAAAGGAAUCCACGCCAUUUUGUUUUGGUUCUGUUGGAGAUUCAAUAAAGAAGUAUCUGUUGUUUGUCUGCCUCGUCUCAAUGCCUUACCAACGCACAGAACAGAACAGGUCACAUGCAGCACAUUAAGAUAUCUGAUCUAUAUAUACUUUGCAAGCCAACAUAUGAUCUCCAUAUCUCAUCAACUAAGAGGUAUAUGAGAUAUUCAGAAAAGGAAACAUUGACUGGAUUAUCUUGGCUAUAAAUAUAUUAAGAUGGGGGGGGAUCAUUAUCCUGGCAUUUAUUACACUUAGAAACCACAGUAUGAAAGUAUACACAGCAUCUUGCUAAUAGUAAUAUCAGAAUAACCCAAUCAGAAUAUUUUCUUUCUGAUUAAUAGAUGAGUAUCACUAUCAAAAACUAACAGUGCUCAGCAAUUGCUUGGUGAUUAAAAGCCAUUUCUUUCUGCUUACUUAGUAUUCUACUUACUGUUUGCAAAUGGGAUUCUUAGGAUAUAAAUGAGGAAAGUAAAAUGUGGUACAUUUUCAACUAUUGACCUUCAUUGUACAAAGAAAUGCAAAUUUAAAUAGAGAGAAAUUUCCCUUUGUAGAUCGUCAAAUUAAUUAAUCAUAACUAGUUUCCAGUGCUAUAGAAAUAGAACAAAACUGUCUUGGAUAAAUGAUUUUAAACUUUGUUCUUAUAAUUAUGUGUUAUGACGAUAUAAAGUGUAGAAAAAUGAAGAUGAAC
Crotalus tigris (Tiger rattlesnake) is the source of this 7270-nucleotide long non-coding RNA. RefSeq lists it as uncharacterized. The transcript has 3 exons. NCBI's taxonomy places the organism in Eukaryota, Metazoa, Chordata, Lepidosauria, Squamata, Viperidae. The record is from RefSeq and is a predicted model, not a curated record.